GACGAACGCUGGCGGCGUGCUUAACACAUGCAAGUCGAACGGAAAGGCCUUGUCUUUGUGGCUUGCUUGAGUAGCGAAUGGGUGAGUAACACGUGAGUAACCUGCCCCUGACUUUGGGACAUCUUCAGGUAACUGGGGUUAAUACUGGAUAGGAGCUCCUGCUGCAUGGUGGGGGUUGGAAUGUUUUGGCGGUUGGGGAUGGACUCGAGGCCUAUGAGCUUGUUGGUGGGGCAAUGGCCUACCAAGGCUUUGACGGGUAGUCGGCAUGUGAGGGUGACCGGCCACAUUGGGAAUGAGAUACGGCCCAGACUCCUCCGGGAGGAAGCAGUGGGGAAUAGUGCACAAUGGGCGGAAGCCUGAUGCAGCGACGCCGCGUGGGGGAUGACGGCCUUUGGGUUGUAAACCCCUUUCGCCAGGGACGAAGCGUUGUGUGACGUUAACUGGAGAAGAAGCACCGGCUAACUACGUG
RNAcentral lists this ribosomal RNA (469 nucleotides) under uncultured bacterium. RNAcentral describes it as "partial 16S ribosomal RNA". It matches the Rfam family "Bacterial small subunit ribosomal RNA", at positions 28 to 507 of the family's 1533-position model. The record is from RNAcentral.